UCCCUGGAGGACUAGUGGUUUGGCCACAGUGCUCUCACCCCUGUGGCCCGGGUUCAAUUCCUGGCCAGGGAA
RNAcentral lists this transfer RNA (72 nucleotides) under Pangasius djambal. RNAcentral describes it as "tRNA-Glu". It matches the Rfam family "tRNA". From Rfam's summary of the family: Transfer RNA (tRNA) molecules are approximately 80 nucleotides in length. Lineage: Eukaryota; Metazoa; Chordata; Actinopteri; Siluriformes; Pangasiidae. The record is from RNAcentral.